UGGUCGAGGUGCGGGCUGGACCGACACCCUCGGGAGCCGCCACGCCCGCGCUGCCCCUGCCCGCACCUGCCCGCGCUCGGUGCCCGCGCCCGUCCCGACCGGGGGACACGGGGCAGCGCAGCCCCCGACGGGGCGGGUGAUGAGGGACCUCGGGCCUCCAUCUCGCUUCCGCAAGGCACUUCCAUGUUUCCGCGCACCCUUUUGCCAAUUGCUAGUUUUCACCUCUUAUUUUUCCUGUCAGGAAUCACAUGGGAAAGGCCUCUCUCUCCCCCUGACCCAUGCCCACCAUUUCACAGGGCGAACCGCGGUGAGCCGGUGCCCGGAGCACCGGGCUGGGGGUGAGAAGCUCCGAAACGCUGCGGGUUUGCCCGGGGUGGGAAACGGGACGGACUCUGCCCCCGCCUGUGAAUCUGUGCAGGAAGUACGGGGAGCAGGUUGAAGGCCAGACAAGGGGUCCGCUGCCCCAGGUGUCCCCGGCCAGGAAGUUCCAGCUGGGGGUAUCGGCCCAGCUCCCUCCUUCUCCGGGACAGCGCUGGACACGGAGAAGAGCGGCCGGCGGCCCCUGGGUCGGCAGGGCAGAUCCGGAGAUCCCUAAUUUGGGCAUAAAAACACUUAAGGACAAGAUUGAAGGCUUUCCGAGAGAUCUGGACAGAAGUCAAAGCUAUCAUUCGGAGUUUCAGGCUGGAAGUGCCCUGCUGACAGCGGGAGGAUCCCGAGGUCCCAGUGGUCCCGCUCGCCCCUUCGCGCUCCCGCCGCCGCCGCCUCGCAUCCCCCGCUCCCGGGAAGCGCUGCCCGCACCUCCGGCCUUAUCGAUGCUCCGCGCUUUUCCGUUGCUAAACUCUGCCUGGCGUUAGACUUAGAAAAAAGAAAUUAAAUAAUAAUAUUGGUCUCGCUCGUGUGCUCCUGUCCCGUAAUUUUUCCAGCAGGUACUGCUCCAAGAGUAACUUUAAAUGCAAAAGGGAUGGGACAUGCCUGUGGGGGAAAAGUCUGGCGUAGCCUCGGACCAGCGUGGUGCUUUUUCAGUCACAAAUGAAGGACGUUAAAAGUAUAUUAAAAUGGUAAAGAUUUUAUUGUAUCGGAAAAAAGGAACUAUCUGUACAAUUCUAAGAGACAGUAAAUAAAGCGACAUUGUCCCUAUCGGAACUUAAAUAGCAGGCCUUUUAAAAUUUGUACAAUUCAAACAAAACCAGGUCUUAAAUCUGUACAUUUUUUUUUAAUUUAUAGUGUAAUAUUUAAAUGUAUUGAUUUUGGGAUUUGUCCUUUUUUGUUUCCAUAGCAUGCAAAAAAUUCUAAAAAGAGUAAAAAAUAAUUCUAGGAUUUUUUAAAUUUUUCUUUUUUUUUUGUUUUGUUACCACCUUCAUAUCAAAAAUACGAAAGGCAGCUUUUUAAUAAAAGCACAACAAUAGCAGAAAAUGGUAAAAAUAGCUUUUAAUUGGUAAAAUGAGGCAGAAAUUGCAUUGGAGACAAAUCUCUAUGCUCUAGGAAAAAAGAAAGUAUAUAUUUUUCAACUUGCAUUAUAACCCAGCCCCAAGUUCCCAAGAUUGCGAAAGAAAAAAUAUUUUUAAAAGGAAAAAAAAUUAGUUCGUGCACAUCUGAAACAUGCAAGGAAAGGAAAGAGGCUAAUUUUUUGCUGUUGCCGUUUUAAGCCUAACUUAAAUCUUCUCUAAAGCGGUUUGUUUCGGAAGUCUUUGAAAACAACUGCUUUCCCAAACAUCUGUUGGAAGCCAGGUUUAUUCCAAGGUUAUGCGUCUCCCUUAUAGAUAAAACAAUCAUCACUGAUAGCUAUUAAAAAAAAUAAUCAAAA
Long non-coding RNA from Poecile atricapillus (Black-capped chickadee), 1804 nucleotides. RefSeq lists it as uncharacterized. The record is from RefSeq and is a predicted model, not a curated record. The transcript is spliced from 3 exons. NCBI's taxonomy places the organism in Eukaryota, Metazoa, Chordata, Aves, Passeriformes, Paridae.